This 229-nucleotide long non-coding RNA is filed under the name Elaeis guineensis (African oil palm). RNAcentral describes it as "long non-coding RNA (EGUI_LNC068251)". Lineage: Eukaryota; Viridiplantae; Streptophyta; Magnoliopsida; Arecales; Arecaceae. The record is from RNAcentral.
GUUUGAUUGAUUUUUGACAUAUAAAAAAUAUGUUUAGAUUAAUUUAUAUUUAUCAGUAAAUAAAAUUAUUUUCAAAUCGAAUCAGACUGGCUUUAAUAAAACAACGUCAUUUUGAUUAGAAUGUUGUUUAUAUUGAAGUAUUAAUAUAUUAAAAAAUAAUUUUAGAUUUAUGAUAUUGUUUAUCAAUUUAUUUUUGUGUUGAUUAGUCUUAAACCUUAAGUGACUUAUU